Podarcis raffonei (Aeolian wall lizard) is the source of this 283-nucleotide long non-coding RNA. RefSeq lists it as uncharacterized. The record is from RefSeq and is a predicted model, not a curated record. The transcript is spliced from 3 exons. Lineage: Eukaryota; Metazoa; Chordata; Lepidosauria; Squamata; Lacertidae.
CAGGCAGGCCUGCAUUGUGUAAAAAAAAAAAAAAAGCAGCAAGAGUGAUGGAGGGAAGCAAUCGAAAUAAUGGCUCCUUCUUUCAUUGGAUGUUAUAAUCAGAGGACACGGAAAGGUCUAUACUGUUCCAUUCAUUCUUGCUGUGUGCCAUUGCAUCCCAUACCAUCCCUUUCUGCCCAACUGCUACAGAAGCUGUGAUAUAUUGCUGAGAGAGACAGGAGAAGAGAAGAGGAAAGUAAAUCUUCAACCACCAGUUAUGUCUAUGUCUAUGUCUCAUCCAGAA